UCCCUUAAGAUUUUUUUUUUUUUCCAUCACCCCCUUCCACUUCCGCCCGACGUAAUUUUUUUCGCACCUUUCCUCUUCCGUUUUGCCUCCCCAAAUACCGAUGAGCAUCGCCGGCGCGCCAUCCCCGCGAUCCAUCUGAUGGCCAAGUAGCGUCGUCGUCGUCUUCCCCGUGGGGCAGUGGGUGCCCAAGAUCGCCAUCGAUGCCUACGUCGCCCCCAACGUUAUCCUCGCCGGCCAGGUCACCGUCAACGCAUCUCUUCUUCCUCCUUAAUUCUUUCGCAUGUCACGGAGGCGGCGGUUUCCGGCCCUUCCAGGUCUCGAGGUGGGCCAUUAUUGCUAGGGUUUCUCCGAGAGAGAGAGAGAAAGGAGGGAAGGGGAUAGAGAGAGGCCGGGCCAUGGCGUCCAAGGCCUCGUCUUCGACUUCCGCCAGCAGAUCCAUGCCCCCCGCCGGCGUUCAGCCUGGGAUGUGCCGAGAGAUUGGAUUUUUACUGCAAUGUGGAUGCGUCGUGCGAUUUUUUCUUUGGUGGUUUUGGUCGUGAUGGGAACCACAUUGUUGAAGAGUGAUCUUAUUUCAGAACGGCCGGGCUAAGAGAGUGGUGGUCGCAGCGUUUUCAGCAAGCAGAUUUGCCCUUGAAUUGGUCUUUAACGUCGAGCUGGAGGGAUUUUUGAGGAAAAGUUGAGCCGGUUUUUCUUUUUUUUUUCCCGUGAAGCUCUUAACAUGCGGGAGUCCGGCUCUGUGGAUAGAAGUCCCUGCUCUGAAGAAGCAAGAUUUCGUUUUGCGUUGAUUACUAUAUAACAGUAGUUUAGAGGAGUGAAAAAUUGCUUUAUUUCAUAUGGAUUAAAUGGGUUCAGCCUUUAUGUUGCUGUUUCUCUUCUCUUGCAUCCUGUUGCAUUGGGAGGAAGAACAAGAUUCUGGUAUUGUUCCUGAUACCUUCUUUGCAGGAGUUUCAAUGCAAGAAUUCCAUGCACCUCUUAUUUUUAGGUUCCUUAUCAGAUAUAUAUAUUUCCAUGCCACUAUUCUCUCUACUUCUAUGCUGGGAUUUUUAUCAGGCCAUCUGUCUUGUAUACAUUCAGCAAGCUUUGUUCUACAAAUAUGCAGGAGAAGCUAAUUUUACAGUCCAGAAGUUCCUUUUAAUUGAUAUUGUAGGACAAUUGCUAUAUAUUUCAGAUAUACAGGUCAACCAAAUCAUCACUUUCAGGUGUCUUGCAAGAUUAUGUCACUGCUCACUCUUUGUUCUUGGUUGGUCUCCUCAACUGUAUCCAGGUCAUGAGUUUCUUGUAUUACUUAUAGAAGAGCAUUACUUUAGGAUAUACCUAUUAAUUCUCUUCGGUUCUCUCUCUUCAAAUGUUGCUGCUGGGUCAUCUAAGCACAUCACUGUUAUAUAUCACCAGAGUUCAUUAUAAGUCUAUCAUGGGUAGUGGUCUUCAAACUGACUCCAUAUCUCAACAUAUCCAUAUUGCAAUCUCAGUAGUUUAUACCCCUGUUCAUAUGUCAAGGUACUGCAGUUAUUUGAUAUUGCUGCUCAAUGAUGAAGACUUUGGUACUCAUUAUGAACUAACAAAGAGGUACUCACUGCAGUAGUGUCAUCAUCAAAUUCAAGUUUUUCAAUCUUCAACUGCUUCUUUGCUGUUAAAAGGAUACUGUUCGUAUCUCAUUACAGGACUUGUUUUGUUUCCAUUUCAUAUAUUAUUCUUUUGUUCGUCGGUCCUGUUCAUAUCUCAGUACAGGUCUUGUCUGUUUCAUUUCAUACUUUUGUUGCUCCUGCCUCUUGAUUGUUUUAUUUGCAGGAGAUUCUGGUUCUUUGAGUCU
Molecule: long non-coding RNA, 1810 nt
Organism: Elaeis guineensis (African oil palm)
Lineage: Eukaryota; Viridiplantae; Streptophyta; Magnoliopsida; Arecales; Arecaceae
Source: RefSeq, a predicted model, not a curated record